CUUGGUCUGAGAUGAAGAGCAGUAAUCAGCUCUGCUCCCUUUCUUUGGCAGAUGAGCAUGCAGGCACAUCACUGGAGAUUUCUACAUGUGUGAUUUAAAACCUUUCCCACAUAUGUUCGGCACCACUCAGUUGCAAACACAAGAUAUCCUGCAGCCAGGAUAUCUCCAAGCAGGAGGAUUGCACAGGAGAAGAAGUGCUAAACUGGAUCUCUUGUUCCUGCCUUAAUUCCUGUCACUUCUCAGAGCAGCCUACAGUCCUGCUGUGUGUGUGCAGCGCUCCUGGUGCGGCUUCAGAUUUGAAUAUCCUGGGGCUCUUCCGUUCUUGAUCCGGGCUUCAGCUCUGAGCCGGAGGUUGGUGUCGGUGUCCGAAGGACCGGCAGGGAGCACACAGCUGCACAGAUUCCUUAAAAGCAAAUGGAAGUCACAGAUGUACAAACAGAGGAAGGAUUUGGGCCAUUUUUGUUACAGUCUGAAGAAAAGUCAAAUAUAAUCUACCAGCACCAAGAUGCUGUGGUAUGUUUUACAACAUAUCACCCCAACACCAAGCGCUGUCCAUGAGUAACUCCUACAAACUUUUGCUGUAACGAGCCCUCCCCUUGUGUUUUUGGCAUGUUGUUCUCAUGGCUGGACAGUCUGUCUGUGUGUGGUCAGAGUUCUAUGUUCAAAUUUAUCUUGAAGUGAUGGAUUUUUGUCUUGUGCUUCACUUCUCUAACACUUUUUGGUGCUGCCUCUUCCUUUCUUGGGAGGGAUAUAUUAGGAAAUGCCAUAAACAUACGUUCCUAGCAUUUUAAUAAAUGGGAGAUCAGUGUUACUGACAAACAGAACUGUAUCAUCUGGGAUUCAGUAUCUCUUCUUGGCAAUAAGCAAAUUCUCUGAUGAUACGGAAAGUUAAACUCAUCCUUUUUCAUUUGCCAAAGCAAAUUCCUUUUUUUGUUGUUCCUAAUAGCAGGUUCUCUGUGAUAAAGCAAAGAAGAAUACAAGGAGGGACCGGUGCAGGCAAUUAACAUCAACUGUUAGGACACUGAUUGCAGAACCCUAUCUUCCAGCACAAGUCCUCCAGCUCUCCUGCCAGCUGCAAAGGAACAUUCCUGCCCCCACUCCGCUUAGCCCACUGCUUGGGGAACAGCCUGUGUUGAGCUCUCAGGGUAGAGUUAUACAAAGGUUUUAUUUCCAGUGGGAAAGCCAGUUUAAGCCAGGCAGUUUCCUGCCUGCUAUGCCCUCUUGUUCUGGCUCCUUCAUCACAGCUCACUGUGCCCUUGAUUGUGCCGAUGCAGCUGUUUCUGGGCUGUGCUGUAAAUUG
RNAcentral lists this long non-coding RNA (1300 nucleotides) under Gallus gallus (chicken). RNAcentral describes it as "lncRNA (ENSGALG00010006612.1)". Lineage: Eukaryota; Metazoa; Chordata; Aves; Galliformes; Phasianidae. The record is from RNAcentral.